AGCACAUUAGGGUGCUAUUGCCAAUUGGUUGGGUUGGGAGAUCUGUUCUGUUCCUAUGUCAUCCUAAUGUAUGACGAUAUUUUCCGUACUAUACAGCGCUCUUCACUGAUUGCAUCAGAUGAAAUCCAGAGAUUACAGGGAUCACUGUAC
Long non-coding RNA from Bombina bombina (fire-bellied toad), 150 nucleotides. RefSeq lists it as uncharacterized. The record is from RefSeq and is a predicted model, not a curated record. Lineage: Eukaryota; Metazoa; Chordata; Amphibia; Anura; Bombinatoridae. The transcript is spliced from 3 exons.